GACGAACGCUGGCGGCGUGCUUAACACAUGCAAGUCGAACGGAAAGGCCCUGCUUUUGUGGGGUGCUCGAGUGGCGAACGGGUGAGUAACACGUGAGUAACCUGCCCUUGACUUUGGGAUAACUUCAGGAAACUGGGGCUAAUACCGGAUAGGAGCUCCUGCUGCAUGGUGGGGGUUGGAAAGUUUCGGCGGUUGGGGAUGGACUCGCGGCUUAUCAGCUUGUUGGUGGGGUAGUGGCUUACCAAGGCUUUGACGGGUAGCCGGCCUGGGAGGGUGACCGGCCACAUUGGGACUGAGAUACGGACCAGACUCCUACGGGAGGCAGCGGUGGGGAAUAUUGCACAAUGGGCGGAAGCCUGAUGCAGCAACGCCGCGUGCGGGAUGACGGCCUUCGGGUUGUAAACCGCUUUCGCCUGUGACGAAGCGUGAGUGACGGUAAUGGGUAAAGAAGCACCGGCUAACUACGUG
RNAcentral lists this ribosomal RNA (468 nucleotides) under uncultured bacterium. Its description in RNAcentral is "partial 16S ribosomal RNA". It matches the Rfam family "Bacterial small subunit ribosomal RNA", at positions 28 to 507 of the family's 1533-position model. The record is from RNAcentral.